RNAcentral lists this ribosomal RNA (253 nucleotides) under uncultured bacterium. Its description in RNAcentral is "partial 16S ribosomal RNA". It matches the Rfam family "Bacterial small subunit ribosomal RNA", at positions 524 to 776 of the family's 1533-position model. The record is from RNAcentral.
UACGUAGGGUGCGAGCGUUGUCCGGAUUUAUUGGGCGUAAAGGGCUCGUAGGCGGCCUGUCGCGUCGGGAGUGAAAGCCCACUGCUUAACGGUGGGUCUGCUUCCGGUACGGGCGGGCUAGAGUAUGGCAGGGGAGACUGGAAUUCCUGGUGUAGCGGUGGAAUGCGCAGAUAUCAGGAGGAACACCGGUGGCGAAGACGGGUCUCUGGGCCAGUACUGACGCUGAGGAGCGAAAGCGUGGGGAGCGAACAGG